UACGUGAGCCCCAAGCGUUAUCCGGACUUAUUGGGCGUAAAGAGUCUGUAGGCGGCUUGGCAAGUUUCCCGUCAAAUCUUGAUGCUUAACAUCAAGACUGCGUGAAAAACUGCUAAGCUAGAGGAUGGGAGAGGCAGAUGGAAUUGCCGGUGUAGCGGUAAAAUGUGUUAAUAUCGGCAAGAACACCAAAUGCGAAGGCUUUCUGCUGGAACAUUCCUGACGCUGAGAGACGAAAGCGUGGGUAGCGAAUGGG
Molecule: unclassified non-coding RNA, 253 nt
Filed under: Patescibacteria group bacterium
Lineage: Bacteria
Description: contains 16S-23S intergenic spacer region
Rfam family: Bacterial small subunit ribosomal RNA
Source: RNAcentral